Long non-coding RNA from Malaclemys terrapin pileata, 1219 nucleotides. RefSeq lists it as uncharacterized. Lineage: Eukaryota; Metazoa; Chordata; Testudines; Emydidae. The transcript has 3 exons. The record is from RefSeq and is a predicted model, not a curated record.
GUUCUUCGAGAUGAGCGUCCCUGUGGGUGCUCCACUCUAGGUGUUGGUGCGUCCCUGCGCCUUCACUCAGAGACUUUUCGUAGCAGUACUCGUACUGGCCACACAUGCGCAGAGGCUGCCCCCCGCAGUGAGUCUAGGAUAAUAGUGCACAUGCGUGGCCAAUCUCCUCAGUUCCUUCUCUACAACGGAGGCUACCCCAACUCCGAAGUAGAGGGGAGGAGGGUGGGUAGUGGAGCACCCACAGGGACACUCAUCUCGAAGAACGUCAGUUACUGCACAGGGUGAGUAACCUCUUCUUCUUCGAGAGAUGUCCCUGUGGGUGCUCCACUCUAGGUGACUUAAAAGCCGUGUAUCUUAAGGAGGUAGGGACUUCGGAUCUGAUAGGAACGCCGUUGAUAGUACAGCCCUGCCCAAACAUAUAUCAGAUAGAGGGCCUUGAGUAAGGGCAUAGUGUUUAACAAAUGUGUGCUCAGAGGACCAGGUAGCUGCUUUACAGAUAUCAGCCAGGGGAACUUUGCGUAAGAAUGCUACAGAGGCAGCCAUAGAUCUAGUGGAGUGUGUUCUGAUGCCGUCUGGAGGUGUAACUUUCUUCAUCUGAUAGCACAACCGGAUGCACUGAGAAAUCCAGUUCAAAAGUCUCUGGGUAGAAAUAGGUGUACCUCUGGAAUGCUCCGCGAUGGAAACAAAAAGUCUGGAAGAAUUUCUAAAAGGUUUGGUUCUAUCCAAAUAGAAGGACAAGGCCCUGCGUACGUCUAGUAUAUGCAUUGAGGCUUCGAACGAGUUCGCAUGUGGCUUCGGGAAAAAGGUUGGCCUAAAGAUAGGAAACAAUCGAUGGUAAGCCGUAUGGAUCGGAGAGCUUCGUCGAACGUUGAAGCUUUGAGGAGGCAAUCGUCUAGGUGGCUGGAGGCCUAGGGACCGGAGGGUUGCUCUUGCAUCCUUCAUCGAAUGCAGCAUGUUGUUUGUGGUGGAGGCAAAAAGUUUUUCCCCGUCAAAGGGAAGAUCUUCAAUGGUGCUCUGGACCUCUCGAGGGAAGAAGGAGGAAGAGAGCCAUGAGCCCCGUCGCGUGACCACUGCUGUGGCAGUCAACCUUGCUGCAGUGUUAGCUACAUCGAGGGCCGCUUGGAGAGCGGUGCGUGAUAUGGUUUGUCCCUCGGAAACCAGAGCUGUGAAUUGUUGUUUCUUCUGUUCUGGGAUGUGAUCAAUAAAAUCCAUGAAUUUA